This 253-nucleotide ribosomal RNA is filed under the name uncultured bacterium. RNAcentral describes it as "partial 16S ribosomal RNA". It matches the Rfam family "Bacterial small subunit ribosomal RNA", at positions 524 to 776 of the family's 1533-position model. The record is from RNAcentral.
UACAGAGGUCCCGAGCGUUGUUCGGAUUCACUGGGCGUAAAGGGCGCGUAGGCGGCACCGCAAGUCGACUGUGAAAUCUCCGGGCUUAACUCGGAAAGGUCAGCCGAUACUGCGGGGCUAGAGUGCAGAAGGGGCAACUGGAAUUCUCGGUGUAGCGGUGAAAUGCGUAGAUAUCGAGAGGAACACCUGCGGCGAAGGCGGGUUGCUGGGCUGACACUGACGCUGAUGCGCGAAAGCUAGGGGAGCGAACGGG